This 2672-nucleotide long non-coding RNA is filed under the name Monomorium pharaonis (pharaoh ant). Its description in RNAcentral is "uncharacterized LOC118645169". The record is from RNAcentral. Lineage: Eukaryota; Metazoa; Arthropoda; Insecta; Hymenoptera; Formicidae.
UGUCACGGAAUCCCGCUCCGUGGAGUAUAUCGCGUCCUCGCUAGCGAGUGAAGUUGGCCGCGCGAUUUCCUUCCGCCAUAUUCAUUCGUCACACGUCCGCCCGCAAGACGUCACGGGUCACGGUCGCGGAAGGCAGAGUGUUUACGCUGCCGGUCAAGUCGGCGUCGAUCGUAGCCGUCGCUUUAACGUAUCUCGUCCGCUUGGUUACUCAUCCGCCGCGCCGUCGGUGCCGGGAACGAAGUGCCGGGAAAUUCCGUCACGGAGAUCGAAGCCCUUCGCGCCCUACCAGCUCGCUCGGUUGACGAUUGACGAAGGACAGGUUAAAUUAUAACCUGCAACCGUAACCGGACGCUCGUCGCGUCGCUCGCGAUUGUCUGAAAUUGUCGAACCGGGAAACUACCCGGCAAACUCCCGGUAGUCUCGUUAACACCGUUAGUGCCGUGCAAAGUGUCGAGUAUCGCGCGAUCGCAACCGUCGAUAUUCACGCGAGUGAGUGCUUCGAAAGAGAAUGGAAACGGACAACAACGGCGACGAGCCCGACGAGGAGGAGGAGGACGAGGAGCAGGACGAGGGAGGAGGAGGGGGGCCGGGAGGCAUCGGGCGACGGCGGAGCAGCCGUGGGAUUGACACGGUAUUACAACUCCGCUGCUGCGCAUCGACCGGUGAGAUUUUUUUUUAAUUUUUAUUUCGAGGCAAUAGAUUUGUGAAAAUUAUGAAUGUAAAAUAUAUGUAUGGGAAAUGAAAUUGUUAAGAAAGAACAAAUAAUGAAUUUUUAAUUAGUAUUUACAUCUAAAUUCAAAAUGAUAAAUAUUUGUGCAGCAAUAUUCUGUAUUAUUUUAUGUUUUUUGAAAUAUCUGAUAUAACAUUCACUUCUACAAUUAUUAUAAAGAAAACAAAUUUAAAAAGAGUUAAAAAUAUUUCAUGUGAAUUCAUCAUAUAAUCUGUUGCCUUGAAAUAGAUUGACUCGAAUAGAGUCGUGAAAAUAUUUUUGUGAUUUAUAAUUGUCUGUUGAGAUAUUUUUUUUAUUAUGUACGCAUAUACAAGAACACACAUACACAUGUAUUGAGGAGAAUAUUAUAAAGGAAAUAUCCCGAAAAGAGGAAAAUUAAUUUUAGGUUUCAUUCAAUUUAUUAGGAACUGUAAUAGGAAUAUGAAGUAGACGAAUUGAAAAAAAAAGAUGAAAGAAGAGAAUAAUGUUUCCGAUAAAAUUUUUACGUUAAUUUUCUAAGCUGCAAACAAAUGUCAAGAUGGAAUCUGUUGCAGAAAUAAUGCGAUAUAUGCGUCUCGUGUAUGAUGGGUACAUAUGAGAAAAUAUAUUUCGCAGCAAAGUGUCGCAGCGAAGACACCUUAUGCAUAUUUCAUGACACGAGUGCAACUGAUUGAGGAUGGCGUAUUCUCGCUUUUCACGAUAAAACUGUGUAGGAUCGCCAAUUAUCCUUUCAUUUGAUAAAAACGUUACCUUGAUAUAUUUCUCAAUUAUAUGUUUAUUAAGCGCGUUAGUUUUUAAAUCGAAAAUAGAUGAAGAUGUCUUAUUAAAUAACGUUUGUUUAUAUCGCCAUUUAUUGUUAAUAUACACUUCUUGCAAAUCUGUCUUAAUAGAGGAAUCUUUUUUCCUUUAAUUAUAAUUAUUUUCCACGAAUAUACACUUAAAUCCUUUUCUGGAUUAUUCUUUCUUUUUUUUCGUGUUGUUUCUGCACCUAUUUUUAUUGCAGAAUUUUUCGCGCGAUUUUUUUCGUACACAUAAAAUAAUUUGCGGAGGGUCAACACUUUUUUAUGCUAAUAAUUACUAAAAAUGGAAAAUUUGUUUGUUGUAAUUAAGUUCGUAAGUUUUGAAAUAUUUUCACCACGUAGUUGCAAAUUGCUUGCAUUACGUGAUUUUCGUGAAAAUAUAUUGUAAAAAGCAUAUUUGUGCCAUUUAUCUUUGCAUUAUCGAGAAAAACAAUUCGAUGCAAAAGGCUAUGCUGGUAGGCAAUAAUUUGUAACAGGAGUCAGGAUGUCGAAUUACCACGUCUACUGUCGUAUUUACGAUUUCCAAUAUCCUGCAAUCGAUGAUUACAAGCUACCGCUGUUUUAUAUGUUGCAAAGAGUUAUAUGAGAGAGUUGUAUGAGUAAAAUGAUAUAAAUAUUGCUCGUGGUAGUUAGUACGUAAUGAGUAACAUAAUAACUGCAUGUAACGAUUAGUCAGAUAAUAAUUUCACUCGUUCAGAAUAUAGAAAUAUUACUAAUCAAACUAAAAUAUUGAUAUUUUCAAGAAAGGAUAAAUGUUUUACAAAACAUUCAUAUAUCUCAACAUAUAUUUUCUUUUGUAACAAAUUAAUUUAUUAAUACUUAGCGCUUAUAAAUUUCUUUAAUUCUCAAUUUGGAAUGUUUAGAAGAAUAUUUUCAAUAAGUAUCGUAAUUAAACUCUCUGUAAAUUCAGGUUACUCGUGAAAUUCACGUGAAUUUCAUUUGCUAGACAUUCGGUGAGAUCAAACAACUCGGUGAAAUGAACUUGCCAUAGACUUAAAGCAGUCUUAAUUGGGAACAAGUGUGUCACACUGAAAUGUACUGAAAUGUAAAUUAAAUAUAUGAAGUUUUCAUAUAGCAAUUUAGACAGAAAAGGAAGAAAAAGAAGGGGAGAGAGAGAGGGGGAACGAGAGAGACUGCCAUAUCUCAUAAAGUCAGAAUAUUGU